This 495-nucleotide ribosomal RNA is filed under the name uncultured bacterium. RNAcentral's name for it is "partial 16S ribosomal RNA". It matches the Rfam family "Bacterial small subunit ribosomal RNA", at positions 28 to 505 of the family's 1533-position model. The record is from RNAcentral.
GAUGAACGCUGGCGGCGUGCCUAAUACAUGCAAGUCGAGCGAACGGACGAGAAGCUUGCUUCUCUGAUGUUAGCGGCGGACGGGUGAGUAACACGUGGAUAACCUACCUAUAAGACUGGGAUAACUUCGGGAAACCGGAGCUAAUACCGGAUGAUAUUUUGAACCGCAUGGUUCAAAAGUGAAAGACGGUCUUGCUGUCACUUAUAGAUGGAUCCGCGCUGCAUUAGCUAGUUGGUAAGGUAACGGCUUACCAAGGCAACGAUGCAUAGCCGACCUGAGAGGGUGAUCGGCCACACUGGAACUGAGACACGGUCCAGACUCCUACGGGAGGCAGCAGUAGGGAAUCUUCCGCAAUGGGCGAAAGCCUGACGGAGCAACGCCGCGUGAGUGAUGAAGGUCUUCGGAUCGUAAAACUCUGUUAUUAGGGAAGAACAUAUGUGUAAGUAACAGUGCACAUCUUGACGGUACCUAAUCAGAAAGCCACGGCUAACUACG